GAUGAACGCUGGCGGCGUGCUUAACACAUGCAAGUCGAACGGAAAGGCCAGUGCUUGCACUGGUACUCGAGUGGCGAACGGGUGAGUAACACGUGGGUGAUCUGCCCUGCACUUCGGGAUAAGCCUGGGAAACUGGGUCUAAUACCGGAUAGGACAAUGGUUUGGAUGCCGUUGUGGAAAGUUUUUUCGGUGUGGGAUGAGCUCGCGGCCUAUCAGCUUGUUGGUGGGGUAAUGGCCUACCAAGGCGUCGACGGGUAGCCGGCCUGAGAGGGUGUACGGCCACAUUGGGACUGAGAUACGGCCCAGACUCCUACGGGAGGCAGCAGUGGGGAAUAUUGCACAAUGGGCGCAAGCCUGGUGCAGCGACGCCGCGUGGGGGAUGACGGCCUUCGGGUUGUAAACUCCUUUCGCUAGGGACGAAGCGUAUUUGUGACGGUACCCGGAGAAGAAGCACCGGCUAACUACGUG
RNAcentral lists this ribosomal RNA (468 nucleotides) under uncultured bacterium. RNAcentral describes it as "partial 16S ribosomal RNA". It matches the Rfam family "Bacterial small subunit ribosomal RNA", at positions 28 to 507 of the family's 1533-position model. The record is from RNAcentral.